Molecule: ribosomal RNA, 200 nt
Filed under: uncultured bacterium
Lineage: Bacteria
Description: partial 16S ribosomal RNA
Rfam family: Bacterial small subunit ribosomal RNA
Source: RNAcentral
GACGAACGCUGGCGGCGUGCUUAACACAUGCAAGUCGAACGAUGAACCGGGUGCUUGCACCUGGGGAUUAGUGGCGAACGGGUGAGUAACACGUGAGUAACCUGCCCUGGACUCUGGGAUAACCCCGAGAAAUCGGAGCUAAUACCGGAUAGGACCUGGAACCGCAUGGUUUGGGUGGAAAGUUUUUCGGUCUGGGAUGG